RNAcentral lists this ribosomal RNA (253 nucleotides) under uncultured bacterium. RNAcentral describes it as "partial 16S ribosomal RNA". It matches the Rfam family "Bacterial small subunit ribosomal RNA", at positions 524 to 776 of the family's 1533-position model. The record is from RNAcentral.
UACGUAGGGCGCAAGCGUUGUCCGGAAUUAUUGGGCGUAAAGAGCUCGUAGGCGGUUUGUCGCGUCUGCUGUGAAAAUCCAGGGCUUAACCCUGGACCUGCAGUGGGUACGGGCAGACUAGAGUGCGGUAGGGGAGAUCGGAAUUCCUGGUGUAGCGGUGAAAUGCGCAGAUAUCAGGAGGAACACCGGUGGCGAAGGCGGAUCUCUGGGCCGUAACUGACGCUGAGGAGCGAAAGCAUGGGGAGCGAACAGG